RNAcentral lists this ribosomal RNA (465 nucleotides) under uncultured bacterium. RNAcentral's name for it is "partial 16S ribosomal RNA". It matches the Rfam family "Bacterial small subunit ribosomal RNA", at positions 28 to 507 of the family's 1533-position model. The record is from RNAcentral.
GACGAACGCUGGCGGCGUGCUUAACACAUGCAAGUCGUACGGUAAGGCCCUUUCGGGGGUACACGAGUGGCGAACGGGUGAGUAACACGUGAGUAACCUGCCCACAACUUUGGGAUAACGCUAGGAAACUGGUGCUAAUACUGGAUAUGUGCUCCUGCUGCAUGGUGGGGGUUGGAAAGCUCCGGCGGUUGUGGAUGGACUCGCGGCCUAUCAGCUUGUUGGUGGGGUAGUGGCCUACCAAGGCGGCGACGGGUAGCCGGCCUGAGAGGGUGACCGGCCACAUUGGGACUGAGAUACGGCCCAGACUCCUACGGGAGGCAGCAGUGGGGAAUAUUGCACAAUGGGCGCAAGCCUGAUGCAGAAACGCCGCGUGCGGGAUGACGGCCUUCGGGUUGUAAAACGCUUUCAGCAGGGACGAAGCUUUUUGUGACGGUACCUGCAGAAGAAGCACCGGCUAACUACGUG